GACGAACGCUGGCGGCGUGCUUAACACAUGCAAGUCGAACGGAAAGGCCUCUUUCGGGGGGUACUCGAGUGGCGAACGGGUGAGUAACACGUGAGUAACCUGCCCUUGACUUUGGGGUAACUUCCGGAAACUGGGGCUAAUACCGGAUAGGAGCUCCUGCUGCAUGGUGGGGGUUGGAAAGUUUCGGCGGUUGGGGAUGGACUCGCGGCUUAUCAGCUUGUUGGUGGGGUAGUGGCUUACCAAGGCUUUGACGGGUAGCCGGCCUGAGAGGGUGACCGGCGACAUUGGGACUGAGAUACGGCCCAGACUCCUACGGGAGGCAGCAGUGGGGAAUAUUGCACAAUGGGUGGAAGCCUGAUGCAGCAACGCCGUGUGCGGGAUGACGGCCUUCGGGUUGUAAACCGCUUUCGCUCAUGACGAAGCUUUGUGUGACGGUAGUGGGUAAAGAAGCACCGGCUAACUACGUG
This 467-nucleotide ribosomal RNA is filed under the name uncultured bacterium. Its description in RNAcentral is "partial 16S ribosomal RNA". It matches the Rfam family "Bacterial small subunit ribosomal RNA", at positions 28 to 507 of the family's 1533-position model. The record is from RNAcentral.